Molecule: ribosomal RNA, 270 nt
Filed under: uncultured archaeon
Lineage: Archaea
Description: partial 16S ribosomal RNA
Rfam family: Archaeal small subunit ribosomal RNA
Source: RNAcentral
CUGCAGCUCGAGUGGUGAUCAUUAUUAUUGGGCCUAAAACGUUCGUAGCCUGUCUUAUAAAUGCCUGGGUAAAUCGUGCCGCUUAACGGUACGAAUUCCGGGUAGACUGUAAGACUUGAGACCGGGUGAGGCUAGAGGUACUCCUGGGGUAGAGGUGAAAUUCUGUAAUCCUAGGGGGACCACCAGUGGCGAAGGCGUCUAGCUAGAACGGGUCUGACGGUGAGGAACGAAGCCCUGGGGCGCAAACCGGAUUAGAGACCCGAGUAGUCC